AUGAAGGGGAGCGCUGCGUACACAAUUGCUGUUUUUUCAAUUGGGUGCCUUCUUAUGGUUGGACAAUGUCGUCGUGAGCCCGAGAGCACCUACAAAGAUGACCAUGCCAACACGACCACGCUGGUCUCCUCACCUGAUGAGAGCAAACUUACCUUGAAAUUUUGUCUCGAUAGAGAUUGUAAGACCAAAGGUGAAAACUUUAGAACCUGGUGGGCGAAAUGCAUAUGCUGCGUCACUCUGCCAGGCGUACCGUGUUAUGAUUCCUAUGAAGAGUGUCAAAGAAAUUGCCCAAGUAUACCGCAGCCCAUACUUGGAAAUACGGGUGGGCGUUAA
RNAcentral lists this ribosomal RNA (333 nucleotides) under Triticum aestivum (bread wheat). RNAcentral describes it as "partial small subunit ribosomal RNA". The record is from RNAcentral. Lineage: Eukaryota; Viridiplantae; Streptophyta; Magnoliopsida; Poales; Poaceae.